GACGAACGCUGGCGGCGUGCUUAACACAUGCAAGUCGAACGGAAAGGCCCUGCUUGCAGGGUGCUCGAGUGGCGAACGGGUGAGUAACACGUGGGUGAUCUGCCCCUUACUUUGGGAUAAGCCUGGGAAACUGGGUCUAAUACUGGAUAGGACCAUGCUGUAGGUGGUGUGGUGGAAAGAUUAGUUUCGGUAAGGGAUGAGCUCGCGGCCUAUCAGCUUGUUGGUGGGGGAAUGGCCUACCAAGGCGUCGACGGGUAGCCGGCCUGAGAGGGUGGACGGCCACAUUGGGACUGCGAUACGGCCCAGCCUCCUACGGGAGGCAGCAGUGGGGAAUAUUGCACAAUGGGCGCAAGCCUGAUGCAGCGACGCCGCGUGGGGGGUGACGGCCUUCGGGUUGUAAACUCCUUUCAGCCAUGACGAAGCCCUUGUGGUGACGGUAGUGGUAGAAGAAGCACCGGCUAACUACGUG
Molecule: ribosomal RNA, 469 nt
Filed under: uncultured bacterium
Lineage: Bacteria
Description: partial 16S ribosomal RNA
Rfam family: Bacterial small subunit ribosomal RNA
Source: RNAcentral